Non-coding RNA from Lupinus angustifolius (narrow-leaved blue lupine), 119 nucleotides. NCBI's taxonomy places the organism in Eukaryota, Viridiplantae, Streptophyta, Magnoliopsida, Fabales, Fabaceae. The record is from Rfam.
AGGUGUGAUCAUACCAACACUAAUGCACCGGAUCCCAUCAGAACUCUGUAGACAAGCGUGCUUGAGCGAGAGUAUUACUAGGAUGGGUGACCUCGUGGGAAGUCCUCGUGUUGCACCUC